CACGUAGGGCGCAAGCGUUGUCCGGAAUUAUUGGGCGUAAAGAGCUCGUAGGCGGUCUGUUGCGUCCGCUGUGAAAACCCGGGGCUUAACCCCUGCUUGCAGUGGAUACGGACAGACUAGAGGUAGGUAGGGGAGAAUGGAAUUCCUGUGUAGCGGUGAAAUGCGCAGAUAUCAGGAGGAACACCGAUGGCGAAGGCAGGUCUCUGGGCAUUAACUGACGCUGAGAAGCGAAAGCAUGGGGAGCGAACAGG
This 251-nucleotide ribosomal RNA is filed under the name uncultured bacterium. RNAcentral's name for it is "partial 16S ribosomal RNA". It matches the Rfam family "Bacterial small subunit ribosomal RNA", at positions 524 to 776 of the family's 1533-position model. The record is from RNAcentral.